Molecule: long non-coding RNA, 1521 nt
Organism: Bos taurus (domestic cattle)
Lineage: Eukaryota; Metazoa; Chordata; Mammalia; Artiodactyla; Bovidae
Source: Ensembl
GACAAGGGGUGGCUUGAGAACAGGACCAGCUUUGUCUCCCUCACCGUCCUGACUGGUCCUCAGUCUCAGAUUCUCACAGACCAGCACCAGGAGACCUGGACAGGCUGUCAUGGCCAGCUCUCCGUGGAUUUGUGGAUUCGAAUCAAGAAUCAGGAAUUCUAGGACCUGCCCCCAUCUCACAUCCAUUGCAUCUCCACACCACCAUCAACCUCAUUUCUUAUUGAUUUAGUUCAGCUGCGUGGCCCUCUUGGCACCUCAGGAACAACACCUGUAAAACAGCUAACACAAUAAAUCCCCAGUCUGGGACUGGGUGCUACAUGGGUUGAUCUUGGGAUCAUAGAGCCAGCAAUUCUGCAGAUGGACCACCACUUUGGCGGAGGAACCUUAUCCUGUACCUGGCCAGACAUCAAGUGCCAGGGAGAGACCAUAGCGCAGCCUGAGUCAUGAGCCACACAUUCAAGGCCAUGAUCAGGAUCACCGCAAAACCCUGAUACCAGCCUCACAGAACACUAUGAAAUCUGAGGAGGACCGACGAUUCUAAGUGCUCCCCAAUGGACAGUCUGUGAAAAGGCAGGUGGCCUGACCUCUCUUUCUGGGAAUUCAUUCAUCUGAGUGAGGCAACCAGAAAAUGGAUCAAGUGUUUACUGCAAAAUUGAAACCUAGCAACUGGUCAGUAAUGGAAGAAGUCAGAUGAUAACUUUGUAUACUCUAAGUUCAAUUAUGGCCAGAAAAUAAAACUACAUGCAGUCAGAAAGAGCAAACAUGCUUUGAUCCCCUGAAACAUACAAACAAAUUAUUUAUGAUGAGGGAUACCAAGAUGUAAAGCAACAAGCUGCCAGGAGUUUACAUCCUAACUCUGACCCCUGGUUGUAAAAGUACUUUCUCCACCGCCUGGUCUCCUGUGUGGCUGCACGGGAUGGUGACCCAGAAUGGCAACAGAAUGCUUGUCUCUUCCAAAGCCACGCCAACAGAACAGAGACCAUCCAGUGUCGGCAAUAGGUGGAUUGGAAUGCUUGUGUCCCUUGAACCAAAUGUCUUAGGGCUCCAAAAGAAACUUUUUAUGGAUUGUUUUGUAGCAGAAAAUACAUGAUUGGACAUCUUAUACUAAAAACAGUCCUGUGACUAUUCAUAAUGUGACUUUACCAGCAAAUGACAUGUGCUCUUAGAACAAAAAUUUGUCCGUGUGGUACCCAAGCUACCACAGUGAAUCCCAGAUGCUUGUAGAAGGAUCAUCUGAUGAAAACUUGGGACCAGUUGUUGGCACAUGGGGCACACACCAAUCAUAAACUGCCUUUCAGUCCAUCAUCAUAUUUUAUUCCUCCUAUUAGGAGUUAAAUUCUGGCAACACAAGAAACAUGUGACAUCUUGUCUUUUCCCUUCCUCUGUUGGAUUCUCUCUAACCUCAUUAACACACACCCAUUACCAUAAAAGUUUUCAAUGAUAACCAAUAUUGAAUGAAAAAAAAUGAGUGAAUGAAUGAAUGAGGUAUCAAAGCUGUAUCAGACAUAUGUUUAACUAUGC